GCAAGUCGAGCGGCAGCGGGAUCUAGCUUGCUAGAUUGCCGGCGAGCGGCGGACGGGUGAGUAACGCGUAGGAAUCUACCUAGUAGUGGGGGACAACUGGUGGAAACGCCAGCUAAUACCGCAUACGCCCUACGGGGGAAAGGAGGGGAUCUUCGGACCUUUCGCUAUUAGAUGAGCCUGCGUCGGAUUAGCUUGUUGGUGAGGUAAAGGCUCACCAAGGCAACGAUCCGUAGCUGGUCUGAGAGGAUGAUC
This 252-nucleotide ribosomal RNA is filed under the name uncultured bacterium. RNAcentral's name for it is "partial 16S ribosomal RNA". It matches the Rfam family "Bacterial small subunit ribosomal RNA", at positions 57 to 305 of the family's 1533-position model. The record is from RNAcentral.